GAAAUGCGAUAAGUAAUGUGAAUUGCAGAAUUCAGUGAAUCAUCGAAUCUUUGAACGCACCUUGUGCUCCUUGGUAUUCCUUGUAGCAUGCCUGUUUGAGUAUCAUGAAAUCUUCAAAGUAAAUCUUUUGUUAACUCAAUUGGUUUCUACUUUGGUAUUGGAGGUCUUUGCAGCUUCACACCUGCUCCUCUUUGUUCAUUAGCUGGAUCUCAGUGUUAUGCUUGGUUCCACUCGGCGUGAUAAGUUAUCUAUCGCUGAGGACACUGUAAAAGGUGGCCAAGGUAAAUGCAGAUGAACCGCUUCUAAUAGUCCAUUGACUUGGACAAUACUUUUAUGAUCUGAUCUCAAAUCAGGUAGGACUACCCGCUGAACUUAAGC
RNAcentral lists this unclassified non-coding RNA (378 nucleotides) under plant metagenome. Its description in RNAcentral is "partial contains 5.8S ribosomal RNA, internal transcribed spacer 2, and large subunit ribosomal RNA". The stretch from base 1 to 105 matches the Rfam family "5.8S ribosomal RNA", at positions 50 to 154 of the family's 154-position model. The record is from RNAcentral.